AUUUAGAGGAAGUAAAAGUCGUAACAAGGUUUCCGUAGGUGAACCUGCGGAAGGAUCAUUACCUAGAGUUGUAGGCUUUGCCUGCUAUCUCUUACCCAUGUCUUUUGAGUACCUUACGUUUCCUCGGUGGGUUCGCCCACCGAUUGGACAAACUUAAACCCUUUGCAGUUGAAAUCAGCGUCUGAAAAAACUUAAUAGUUACAACUUUCAACAACGGAUCUCUUGGUUCUGGCAUCGAUGAAGAACGCAGCGAAAUGCGAUAAGUAGUGUGAAUUGCAGAAUUCAGUGAAUCAUCGAAUCUUUGAACGCACAUUGCGCCCCUUGGUAUUCCAUGGGGCAUGCCUGUUCGAGCGUCAUUUGUACCUUCAAGCUCUGCUUGGUGUUGGGUGUUUGUCUCCUGUAGACUCGCCUUAAAACAAUUGGCAGCCGGCGUAUUGAUUUCGGAGCGCAGUACAUCUCGCGCUUUGCACUCAUAACGACGACAUCCAAAAGUACAUUUUUACACUCUUGACCUCGGAUCAGGUAGGGAUACCCGCUGAACUUAAGCAUAUCAAUAAG
This 558-nucleotide ribosomal RNA is filed under the name uncultured fungus. RNAcentral describes it as "eukaryotic LSU rRNA". The stretch from base 203 to 356 matches the Rfam family "5.8S ribosomal RNA". The record is from RNAcentral. Lineage: Eukaryota; Fungi.